UAUCUCUGUAGAGUCUGCAUAUCAAUAAGCGGAGGAAAAGAAACUAACAAGGAUUCCCUUAGUAACGGCGAGUGAAGCGGGAAGAGCUCAAAUUUGAAAUCUUCAAGGUUCUACCUUGACGAAUUGUAGUUUAAAGAAGUGUUUUCUGUUAGAUGAGUAGCAAAAGUUCCUUGGAAUGGGACAUCAUAGAGGGUGAGAAUCCCGUAUUUGGUUAUUCAUUCUAGCUUUGUGAUACACUUUCAAAGAGUCGGAUUGUUUGGGAAUGCAGUCCAAAAUGGGUGGUAAAUUUCAUCUAAAGCUAGAUAUUGGCGAGAGACCGAUAGCGAACAAGUACCGUGAGGGAAAGAUGAAAAGAACUUUGAAAAGAGAGUUAAACAGUACGUGAAAUUGUCAAAAGGGAAGCGUUUGACACCAGUGUUGUUUUUCCGAAAAUCAAUUACGAAUGGCUUGAUUUUGUGUUGUAUUGACCUUAUCAGCUUUCUUCACUUUUUUCGAGUCUUUCUUAAUGCACUUUUCGGUUAACAAGUCAACAUCAAUUUCUUUUGUUGUAAAAGAGUAUUCGGAAGGUGGCUUUCUUUUCGGAGAAAGUGUUUAUAGCCCUAUACUUCUACAAUCGGAGAGAUUGAGGUCUGCAGCGUAGAUCCUUCGGGGUUAGAUACACUUGUGCUAAGUUGUAGCAUUUCAUAGACAACUUGUUGACUAUGUAUAGUCUUGCGGCUUACUCGCUUGUGCUAUUUUACCUACGCUUAGGAUGUUGACUGAUAUGUAGUCGUA
This 774-nucleotide ribosomal RNA is filed under the name uncultured Neocallimastigales. RNAcentral describes it as "partial large subunit ribosomal RNA". It matches the Rfam family "Eukaryotic large subunit ribosomal RNA", at positions 24 to 644 of the family's 3401-position model. The record is from RNAcentral. Lineage: Eukaryota; Fungi; Neocallimastigomycota; Neocallimastigomycetes; Neocallimastigales.